GUGCAUCCAAAGAGACAAAGUCAGUCACUUCCUCCACCAGUAAACAGCCUCAACACUUCACACAUCAAUUGCUGUUUUCUGUGGUCUUCGCCAAGGAAAACUGAAAAUUUUCAAGAAAUUUCAUGGUGUCAGAUGGUAAAAAGGUAUUUUUUUGCGCUUUCAUUGAAAUUAGUUCCAGUUUAAAGGGACAAUUUCUAGUUGAGAUUCAAGAUUCAAAACAAUGAAUGCAACAGUUUGCAUCAGUGUAGUUGAGUUAUGAAAACUUCUACAGUAAUUACUACACUGAGUGAAGGGAAUUAGCUGCACUACUUUAAAUGACUUCAUACUUGACAGCAUCAGCACAGGUUUUGAAGGUUUUUAUGACUUGGAAUCAAGUUAUUGAGCCAAUUUCAUUAAUGUACUACAACUUGGAAUGCGAUUUAAAUCAAUUAACACAGAAAUUUGAGUUUAAAUUACAGACAUCCAGGGCUGUGAAAAGUUAUUUGCCCCCCUUCAGGAACCUUCUAUUUUUGCAUAUUUGUCACAUUUAAAUGUUUCAGUAUAAAAACCUCCAUGAACAUUUUGCUGCAGCGUUACAAACCAGUGUGAGGAAACGACUCUUUAAAUUUUAUAGUUGUAGUUGUGUUUUUAGAACUGAUUAUCAGUGAACACAAAAAUCAGUUUAAUGGCUUUUUAUGAGCAAGGGAGAGAAAAAAACAUCCAGGACAAAGGUGAUGUGUGAUAAACACAGUGCUGUAAGAAAGUAUUUGCCCCCCUACAGAAAUCUGGAGUUUUUGCAGGGACUAAAUGAAAUAUGCUGAUAAAAAGACCCAUUUUAAAUGUAUUAUUGAAUCAGGUUUAUCUAAAUUGAGUUAACAAGUGAUAUUACAGCUACAGGUUGAAAUAAGAGCUACUGAAAUCAUUGGAUUUCUCUCAAAUGUUCAGAAUUUGAGGGGAAAUCUACUUUAAGUUUGCCCCACUACAGAAAUCUUUUAUUUUUGCAUAUUUGCCACAGUUAAAUAUUUCAGAUCAUCAAACUAUUUUUUAUUAUAAGACAAGGAUAACCCACAAAAACACAAAAUGCAGUUUUCAAAUCAUGAUUUCAUUUAUUGAGGGAAAAAUAUUGUCCAGCUCAUCUUGCCCGAUGUGAAAAAGUAAUUGCCCCCUUAGCUACCAAUCUACCAAAUGACCAAAUUCAUUCAUCAGUUGGGUUCAGUUUCUCCAUCCACACUCACAUAUGAUUACUGCCAGGCUUGUUGAACCUAAACAUCACUAAAUAGAACCUGUCUUCAUUGUGAAGUAGCUAAAGGCUCUGAAAAAGCAGCACAUGAUGCCACGUUCUAAAGAGAUUCAAGAACAGAUGAGGAACAAAGUCAUUGACAUUCAUCAGUCUGGAGGGUUCCAAAGCCAUUGCUGAGGCUCUGGGACUCCAGAGAACCAAUGAUGGCUCAACCUGUUAUUAGGUUUAGGGGGGCAAUUACUUUUUCAUAGGGCUGAUACUGGUUUUCAGUAAAUCAUCAUUUCAAAAUUGUAGUGUUUUGUGGAUUAUCUCUGUCUAAUAUUCACUCAAUAUAAAUAUUAGUUUCUUGACCUGGAACAUUUGAGUGUGAGAAAUAUACGACAAUCAAAGAAAUUUCACAGCUCUGUAUUUUGCAGAUGGUGUUUAAAUGAUGUUCUUUCUCCAUCCUCCAGCAGGUCGACAACUGAGUCCAACACAUCAUGGAGAACAGUUCCAUCAGUUUGGAAUCCAUCCAGGAGGCAGCAAUGCUCAGAUCAGGUGUUGUCGGAAACCCGUACCUGGCAGGAGGAUACCUGAUAGGAAGCUCCCUGCUGGGCUUCCUCAUCAUCAUCGGGGCCUUCUUGUACAAUCAACGCAAUCUCAGUCUUUUUAAAAGAUCCUGCAUCAUAUCCUUCACCUGCCAGGAAAACAGCCUCAUGGGUCUUCAACUCGUCUACAGCUGUCUGUUGACUCUGCUCACCAUGGAUGCUCUGAAUCUGAUCGUGGCAAUAAUCUUGGGAGCUACACUGGUUGCAUUGUCCUGCGAUGUAAUCAACUGUGUUCUGGCUGAAAACAUCUGGUUCCUGUCCAGGUGGUUUGGAGUGAUUAUUCAUCUUGUGAACGCCUCGUUGUCCAUCUAUAAUCUGCAUCAGCCACUGAGUGUAGCCAGGGUUCGCAUCGCCUACUCAUUGGUUUCUGUGGUGAUUAUCAUUAUGGUCCCACUUUUUCUGUAUGUCUACAACGUGCCCACAUUCACUUUGGCCGCUUUCAUGUUUCUGUUUGCUCUGUCCAUCAUUGUAGCAUCUAGAAGGCCUACCUUGUCCCCGUCCACUUCCACCCUGAAGAAACUGAUCAUGGUUGUUGCAAUGUGCAACUUCCUGGUUGUCUACGUCCCCACUUUCAUUCUUCAGUGCCUCGUGUACACCGCAGCCAAUGUUACCGACUUAGCGAAUUACCAAAAUAUUUAUUUUAAUGUUCUGUAUUUCACAAACCUUCAUCUCAUUUUCGAUGGACUCCAGUGUGCUUUGUUCCUGAAAUUGCCUUCUGGAGAAGAACAGCAACAGCAGCAACAACAACUGCAAGAGUGGCGCCAACAACAGUGGGAGCCACAACAGCAACAACAGUGGCGUCAACAAGAGCAACAACAGUGGCGUCAACAACAGUGGCAACCACAACAGCAACAACAGUGGCGUCAACAAGAGCAACAACAGUGGCGCCAACAACAGUGGCAACCACAACAGCAACAACAGUGGCAGCCACAACAGCAACAACAGUGGCGCCAACAACAGUGGCAACCACAACAGCAACAACAGUGGCGCCAACAACAGUGGCAACCACAACAGCAACAAAAGCUGGGUUUCCAAAAUGCAGGAUUCACUGGUUCUACAAAUGUAUAUCAAUAAUGAUCAAAAUUAUGUCUCUGCACCAUAAAAAUCAAUGUACAUCCCAACCACUGGUGGAUAACCUAGCGUUGUUUCACAAUUCAGAAUUCUUGCUGUCCUCAUGGAUUGUAUCUGUUGGACAGAAGGGUGCAGCUCCUGCUUUAUUCAUAUAAACCCUGAAAUCACAGAUGAAAAUCACCAUUUCACCCUCUCUGUCUGACUUAAAAUCCAGCAUGAAGCAAGAAGAAAUGUGUAAAUACUUCCAUAAUGUACAGGCAGUGGAGAGCUGUAUAAAAUACAGUUUACGGAAAUAGCAGCAACUUUGAAAACUUUUCAAAAUGAAACAUCUGUUCAAUAUGUUGGUUUGUUCAAUUACUUAAAGGCGGAGGGCACAUCUGAAAUAUGUUGUAGUUCCUACAACGUUUACCUGAUCUGGAUGUAAAUACCUUCAAAAUUAAAGCUGAAAGUCUGUAACUAAAGCACAUCUGGAUUGUUUCAUUUAAUGUCUUGGUCAUUUUUUUGGAUUGGAAAGUGAGGGGGCAAUUACUUUUUCACAUGGACAGUGUUUUCUUCAAAAAAAUAAUAAAAUCAAUCAGUCAAUUGAAAACUGC
Amphiprion ocellaris (clown anemonefish) is the source of this 3470-nucleotide long non-coding RNA. NCBI's taxonomy places the organism in Eukaryota, Metazoa, Chordata, Actinopteri, Pomacentridae. The record is from Ensembl.